Molecule: long non-coding RNA, 689 nt
Filed under: Cyanistes caeruleus (blue tit)
Lineage: Eukaryota; Metazoa; Chordata; Aves; Passeriformes; Paridae
Description: lncRNA (ENSCCEG00000000976.1)
Source: RNAcentral
GGAGAUAGUCCUCUGCUGCUGAAUCUGAAAGUUUCUGGGUGUAACCUGGGCACUUCAAGGUUCAGAAUUUUUGCCAAGUGUUUAAGUCAGAGCAGAACUUGGAACAUCAGUUUGAUGCAGGGGAGCUGACAUUGCUCCUUGUGCUACCAGAAGGAAAUAUUGCACUGGAAGGCCUCCUGUUCCCCUUGAAACAAGCAGCUGCCAGCAAACAGAUUCUGCAAGCCUUGGAAAAGGUAGCAACUUCUUUCAAACCAUGAAGGAGAUGCUCAGCAGAAUGCUGUAUAGCCUGGAUUAACAGUUAAUGUGUUUGUGUUGGUAAGAGCUUGGGAAAACAAGUGACUCCACUGAUGCUGACAGAAGUCUAAUUCCCUGAUCAGAGAUGUAAGUGAUGAGAAGCAUGUUCUCUGCAUGCAACUGACAAACAAGUGUGACCACACUCCAUACUGGAUAUUGUGUUUAUGCUCCUCCAGUGCAGUAAUGACAGAGAAACCAUAAGUAAUCAAGACACACUGUGCAUUCCAGGAGAAACUGCCACUUGCUCAUGUCUGGCUUCAUCCUGUAAAGCGGAAAACAGCAGCGAUUGUGUGACUCUAUUCAAGUGCUAUGUGUUGUUCUGCAUCUUUCUUCUCUGCACCCCAAACUAAAAACUUUCAAAUAAAAAUAACUGAAAAACAGAAUAUUGUAUUCCU